CCUACGGGGGGCAGCAGUGGGGAAUAUUGCACAAUGGGGGAAACCCUGAUGCAGCGACGCCGCGUGAAGGAAGAAGUAUCUCGGUAUGUAAACUUCUAUCAGCAGGGAAGAAAAUGACGGUACCUGACUAAGAAGCUCCGGCUAAAUACGUGCCAGCAGCCGCGGUAAUACGUAGGGGGCAAGCGUUAUCCGGAUUUACUGGGUGCAAAGGGAGCGUAGACGGCAGCGCAAGUCUGGAGUGAAAUGCCGGGGCUCAACCCCGGAACUGCUUUGGAAACUGUGCAGCUAGAGUGCGGGAGAGGUAA
This 305-nucleotide ribosomal RNA is filed under the name uncultured bacterium. Its description in RNAcentral is "bacterial SSU rRNA". It matches the Rfam family "Bacterial small subunit ribosomal RNA", at positions 338 to 660 of the family's 1533-position model. The record is from RNAcentral.